UGGGGAAUAUUGGGCAAUGGGCGCAAGCCUGACCCAGCAACGCCGCGUGAGGGAAGAAGGUUUUCGGAUUGUAAACCUCUGUCGCAAGGGACGAAGAAGUGACGGUACCUUGUGAGGAAGCCCCGGCUAACUACGUGCCAGCAGCCGCGGUAAUACGUAGGGGGCGAGCGUUGUCCGGAAUUACUGGGCGUAAAGGGUGCGUAGGCGGCACUACAAGUUGGAUGUGAAAUACCCGGGCUUAACCUGGGGGGUGCAUUCAAAACUGUAGAGCUAGAGUGCAGGAGAGGGAAGCGGAAUUCCUAGUGUAGCGGUGAAAUGCGUAGAUAUUAGGAGGAACACCGGUGGCGAAGGCGGCUUUCUGGACUGACACUGACGCUGAGGCACGAAAGCGUGGGGAGCAAACA
RNAcentral lists this ribosomal RNA (404 nucleotides) under uncultured Eubacteriales bacterium. RNAcentral describes it as "uncultured Clostridiales bacterium partial 16S ribosomal RNA". It matches the Rfam family "Bacterial small subunit ribosomal RNA", at positions 355 to 774 of the family's 1533-position model. The record is from RNAcentral. Lineage: Bacteria; Bacillati; Bacillota; Clostridia; Eubacteriales.